AUACGGAGGAUCCGAGCGUUAUCCGGAUUUAUUGGGUUUAAAGGGAGCGUAGGUGGAUUGUUAAGUCAGUUGUGAAAGUUUGCGGCUCAACCGUAAAAUUGCAGUUGAAACUGGCAGUCUUGAGUACAGUAGAGGUGGGCGGAAUUCGUGGUGUAGCGGUGAAAUGCUUAGAUAUCACGAAGAACUCCGAUUGCGAAGGCAGCUCACUAGACUGUUACUGACACUGAUGCUCGAAAGUGUGGGUAUCAAACAGGAUUAGAUACCCUGGUAGUCCACACAGUAAACGAUGAAUACUCGCUGUUUGCGAUAUACAGUAAGCGGCCAAGCGAAAGCAUUAAGUAUUCCACCUGGGGAGUACGCCGGCAACGGUGAAACUUAAAGGAAUUGACGGGG
RNAcentral lists this ribosomal RNA (393 nucleotides) under uncultured bacterium. Its description in RNAcentral is "partial 16S ribosomal RNA". It matches the Rfam family "Bacterial small subunit ribosomal RNA", at positions 523 to 918 of the family's 1533-position model. The record is from RNAcentral.